This is a long non-coding RNA of Anguilla anguilla (European eel), 4040 nucleotides long. RefSeq lists it as uncharacterized. Lineage: Eukaryota; Metazoa; Chordata; Actinopteri; Anguilliformes; Anguillidae. The record is from RefSeq and is a predicted model, not a curated record. The transcript has 4 exons.
CCGGCUGCCAAACAGCAGGUCGCAUCAUCUGGGAACUAUCCGCCAAUGUCUGAGAGGGACUGACCACGCUCCAUCGCAAGGGCUGUGUUUCGUUUCAAUGUCACUACAGACGAUUCAUGAGGAGGAUGGACCUCCUGUGCUGUACAGAGUAUCUCACCUUUCAGAUUAACUCAAAAACUUUUUUGGUGACACUGAUUGGGUGGAAAGUAGAAAUGAUUAGCCUUUCUCACAGAAGGCAAAAUCCGAGGUCCGAGGACCAGCUCAGCAGUGUCCAUCUGUCCGUCUGCCUCUUGGACCUCAGUCACCGCAGUUAUUGCAGUACUAGCACCCACAGGUAGCUCCACCACCACCACAACCUGCAGUACCGCAGAAUUCUCCUCCACCAUCAUGUCAUAGGGCUGACUCUCCUGGGGAUGAUGUAAAUGGGACCAACCUGCAGGGUGACAAAGUCUGGGAUUGGACCAAUCCCCUGUACUGCUGCUCAAUUGCGUACCCUUACCUUGUUGGAACGUGUGAAAAAUCGGCAAACACAUAUCCUCUCUGUGCUCAACACCUUCGCCUCAAGGAUGGAUGCCAAUGAGAGAGGAUGCAGUCCUAACAGAUGCUGUGCAUUUCCCUUUAGGGGCUUCAGGAAAUGUGGAGGAGUUUGAGGCCUGGCUUAGGGAUGCCAACAAUGCAGCAGUUAAAAAGAGCACGGUACUGCUGUCUCUUCCACAUUACUAUUUAGCUCAAACUGUACAUAAUCAGUGUGGCCUUAUUUUACCCAAGAUUAAUUCAAGUGAUAGCUUUCAAAUUCAAGAUAUCAUUCAACAGACAGCUGUACUGGCCUCCAUUGGAGGACAUGACACAAAGAAAGUGAGGUGGUACAUUCUUGGACACAUGUUUUGCAAUAGCCAAUCUACAGCACUGGUAAAAAAUAAAAAAGUAGUCCCUAUUAAAAAUUAUAAUCUGCCAAUCACUGCUGCCAAAUUGUGGGCCAGCUUCAUCUUUCUGGGCUGUUUCGAUCAAUCACAGAUAUGAAAUGUUGAUAAUCGUGGAUUAUUUUCUGUUGCCUGGGGAUUUUUAUUUCAAGAUGAGACACAUGCAGUUUACCUGAAGAUAAAACCAUCAUAGCAGUGAAAAUACAGUCAGCUAAUAUAUAGCCUAGUUAGUUAGUACUUUUAGUCCCUUAGCUUGCCGGCACUAAAACAGGUAGAUGAGUUGGCUACCGUUAUCAUGUUAAUGUUACAUUGUUAUUACUUUAUAUAGGUGUAGUACUUACCUAUGAGUGGCUAUGUUCACUCGAUUGAGUUUGUAGUUGGUAGACUACAAAUAUGAAUGAUCACGGCUGUUCAUUAUUGGUAACUUAAGCAAGUGUUGGUACAAAAAUUAAUGAAUGAUAGUCACAACAUAGUUAUUGAUAAACAAGUUUCAUUAAAGAAAGCUCGGCUGUAAAGUUAGUUCUUUUUUAAGACAGCAUUUGGGUGAAUAUUUGAAGAUGAUCAAGCUUUAACAUUGGCUAUUGAUGAGCAAGCACUGCUACAGAAAUUAUCAAGUUGUAGCAUAGUUUCCAAGAUGGAAAAACUUCUCUUUGACCUGGGUAAGUUUUAUCUAGGGUAGGCUAGUCAACAUCAUGUUUCCCUGUGUGAUGCUGCAAAACUGUGGUGGCAGCAGGUAUUUUUCAUUUCCCAAGUUUAACUUCUAGAUUGCUAACCAGUUUGUUUUGGCAAUAUUGACUUCCUGGCUUGCUGGACACAAUGGAUCGGGAUUAUUCAAGUGGGUCUACAAAGAUAAAUUGACUCGGCAGCAGUUCUGCAGAAGGUAACCUAACCCUGCCUCAGCUAUUUAUUUUUUUCAGUUGUUGCUCCUGCAUGCUAAUGCUACUACCAGCGAUUCCACUCGUGCUAGCUUCCUAAUUAGUAGGCAUACACAAACCACAAUGGGAUAGUAACGCUUUUAGUUUAUUGGUGGACUAGUCGGACCUUGUCAGGAUGCUAGAAUUCGAGGAUAGCCUCUGUAACCGCUUUGGUAGGAGGAAGAAGACCUUUGAGGAUAAGACACAUUUUAUUUAUAUCAUGGUGGUGGUAUGUUGCAUAGUCUAAUAUAUUACUGCGCCCCAGUUGCGCUAACUCCUGGAGUCACAAAAUUACCAAAACAGACUUGGACAUGCCCUUAUUCACCAGUGCCUUGAGUUCUGGUGAGUGAGGGAGGUACAACUCCUUUUUUGAAACUUACAAUUGCAAAAUGGUUGGAUCAAUAUUGUUAUACACUACAGGCUUCAUGAGGGUUGAGUCAGCUGGGUUGAAACUAUUUCUUUAAACUUCCCAGUUUUUUUCCUUCCACUUACAAAAUAGAAUGGGCUACCACUGCAAGAUCCUCCAUAAAAUACUGCCAUACUGUAUGCACCCGAAAAAAACUGGUUCAGGCUUUUUGACUUUUUCUGCAGCCCAGCAGCAGAUCUGGCAAACCACCAACCACAGAAAUCACUGUUAUGCACUUAAGUGGAGAAUACCCUCCCUCCAUGGGAGAUGAAAUAGCCAAUUACACAUCACCCUGCAGGACUCCUGGCCGCAGUCAGCACUAGCACAGCCAGGAUUCUAAUGUUGGUUUAUGAACAACUAAGACCUUGUCCUGGACCAACCGUAAACAAUGUCAAAAACACACUGGUUCAAUUUCAGCAUGCCUUCAGUCUUUAGUCCGUAGCUGCGUAAUGAAAAACGUUUCCGAAGUACCAUAUUACGGGAUUUGCUGUAUAUUGAGUUUAGGACAAUCAGCUGAUCUCCAGCAAUCCUCCUGCUGGUCCCAAAGUUCAGUGUUUAUGUUUUUAUCACCAUUGUGCACAGCGAACGUAAAGAAUGGAAAUAUUUUUUAAUAUUUAAAGUGGGAUAAUCUUUUUAAAUUCCUGAAAUAUCCGCAAUUGAGCUUAUUACUAUGCAGAGCCCACAUAAACAAGAAAAUACCUUUAAAGCACUUAAAAAUGUGCUUGUGAACUUCUAAAUAAACUGUUACAAAAUGAAUAUUUCUUUGCCUUACAUCCUAAACGUUGUAUUCAUAACUUCAAGAUUUCAGUCUUAACUCAAUAACAAAAAUGUUGCGAUUACCUAAAUUAUUUGCCUCUCUGGCAUUACCAUAUGAAACUGAUAAUGAGACAAAUUUGGUCAAAAACACCUCUGUUCACACAUUGAUAUUGUUAAUACUGUUGGCUUUUGACUAGGGCGACCAGUUUUGCUCCCCUUGUCCUCCUGCAUGAUAUUUCAGUUUGUCGCCAGCUAGAGGUCACAAUAGUCUCUUUGUCAAGCCCCUUCUCAAACAAUUAUCCCAUGUGCAUCAUCUCAAUAAUCUAAGUUGAAGUAAUUGCCCGUAAUUAAGCAUAGACGAUGAAUCACAGCAAUGUUUACAAGCGAAACUCAUUCAUGUCCUCUCUACAGCACUCAGAUGUCAGGCUGUGCACAUGCAUGUGGUUGGAAGGUGGGGCUUUUAAAGGUUUUUUCUUUUCUUCAAAAUCUAGCUCUCUCGUUUGUUUUUCCAAACUUGCAUACUGCACCUUUAAGCAGGGUCGUUCAGAAGCUCGAACAGAUUUUGUGCUCGAGAUUUUAUCGUCUGUAUAUAAAAUAGAUAAGAUGGGUUGUGCGUUGGCCUUUUUAUGGAUUCCAGGCCACAAGGGAAUAAAAGGAAAUGAAAUGGCAGAUAAAAUUGGCAAGUCAAGAUUGCAGUCAGAAAAUAUCCAAGUUACUGUAUCUUUUGGGAAAAUGGACAGGUUUAAUUAAAAAGAGUGUUGGGAAGGAGUGACAAAGUCAACAGGAAAUGGAUAAGAGAGGGAGACACUUUUACUCAAUUAAAACAUCUCUCAAGAAAGGAUCUGUUUAUUAUGGUAGAAAUCGAACUGAACCAGUGAAAAGAAUUAGACUGGGAAUGGGCUGUUGUGGGUUGGGGAGUGGGUUGAAAGCUAUUGGGAAACAUAAUGAUGGACUAUGUGAGUGUGGUUGUCUGGAUGUUCUGUUAAAACACUGCUCAGUUGGGAUGGGAGUGUGGACCACUGGUUCACAGACAUGCUUUACAUA